UACGUAGGGUCCGAGCGUUGUCCGGAAUUAUUGGGCGUAAAGAGCUCGUAGGCGGUCUGUCACGUCGGCUGUGAAAACACGGGGCUCAACUCCGUGCCUGCAGUCGAUACGGGCAGACUAGAGUUCGGUAGGGGAGAACGGAAUUCCUGGUGUAGCGGUGAAAUGCUCAGAUAUCAGGAGGAACACCGGUGGCGAAGGCGGUUCUCUGGGCCGAUACUGACGCUGAGGAGCGAAAGCGUGGGGAGCGAACAGG
This 253-nucleotide ribosomal RNA is filed under the name uncultured bacterium. Its description in RNAcentral is "partial 16S ribosomal RNA". It matches the Rfam family "Bacterial small subunit ribosomal RNA", at positions 524 to 776 of the family's 1533-position model. The record is from RNAcentral.